RNAcentral lists this ribosomal RNA (253 nucleotides) under uncultured bacterium. Its description in RNAcentral is "partial 16S ribosomal RNA". It matches the Rfam family "Bacterial small subunit ribosomal RNA", at positions 524 to 776 of the family's 1533-position model. The record is from RNAcentral.
UACGAAGGUGGCAAGCGUUACUCGGAAUUACUAGGCGUAAAGGGCAGGUAGGUGGUUUGGUAAGUCUGUUGUGAAAGCUCCCGGCUUAACUGGGAGAGGUCAACGGAUACUGCCGAACUUGAGUAUAGGAGAGGUUACUGGAAUUCCCGGUGUAGCGGUGAAAUGCGCAGAGAUCGGGAGGAACACCAAUGGCGAAAGCAGGUAACUGGACUAUUACUGACACUCAGCUGCGAAAGCUAGGGGAGCAAACAGG